AUCAUGGCUCAGAUUGAACGCUGGCGGCAUGCUUUACACAUGCAAGUCGAACGGCAGCACGGACUUCGGUCUGGUGGCGAGUGGCGAACGGGUGAGUAAUAUAUCGGAACGUGCCCAGUCGUGGGGGAUAACGUAGUGAAAAUUACGCUAAUACCGCAUACGAUCUAAGGAUGAAAGCGGGGGAUCGCAAGACCUCGCGCGAUUGAAGCGGCCGAUAUCAGAUUAGGUAGUUGGUGAGGUAAAGGCUCACCAAGCCGACGAUCUGUAGCUGGUCUGAGAGGACGACCAGCCACACUGGGACUGAGACACGGCCCAGACUCCUACGGGAGGCAGCAGUGGGGAAUUUUGGACAAUGGGCGAAAGCCUGAUCCAGCCAUGCCGCGUGCAGGAUGAAGGCCUUCGGGUUGUAAACUGCUUUUGUACGGAACGAAAAGACUCUGGUUAAUACCUGGGGUCCAUGACGGUACCGUAAGAAUAAGCACCGGCUAACUACGUG
This 496-nucleotide ribosomal RNA is filed under the name uncultured bacterium. Its description in RNAcentral is "bacterial SSU rRNA". It matches the Rfam family "Bacterial small subunit ribosomal RNA", at positions 16 to 507 of the family's 1533-position model. The record is from RNAcentral.